Molecule: ribosomal RNA, 279 nt
Filed under: uncultured bacterium
Lineage: Bacteria
Description: partial 16S ribosomal RNA
Rfam family: Bacterial small subunit ribosomal RNA
Source: RNAcentral
UGCCAGCAGCCGCGGUAAGACAGAGGGUGCAAACGUUGCUCGGAAUUACUGGGCGUAAAGCGCGUGUAGGCGGUUCGUUAAGUUGGCUGUGAAAGCCCUCGGCUCAACCGAGGAAGUGCAUUGGAAACUGGCGAACUUGAGUACGGGAGAGGAAAGUGGAAUUCCGAGUGUAGGGGUGAAAUCCGUAGAUAUUCGGAGGAACACCAGUGGCGAAGGCGGCUUUCUGGACCGAUACUGACGCUGAGACGCGAAAGCGUGGGGAGCAAACAGGAUUAGAUA